Molecule: ribosomal RNA, 481 nt
Filed under: uncultured Saprospiraceae bacterium
Lineage: Bacteria; Pseudomonadati; Bacteroidota; Saprospiria; Saprospirales; Saprospiraceae
Description: bacterial SSU rRNA
Rfam family: Bacterial small subunit ribosomal RNA
Source: RNAcentral
GAUGAACGCUAGCGGGAGGCUUAAUACAUGCAAGUCGAGGGGUAACAUGAGUGCUUGCACUUGAUGACGACCGGCGCACGGGUGAGUAACGCGUACACAACCUACCUACGAGAGGGGGAUAGCCUUUGGAAACGGAGAGUAAUACCCCAUAGUAUUAUGAUUUUGAUUAGAUUAUAAUUAAAGAUUUAUCGCUUGUAGAUGGGUGUGCGUUUCAUUAGCUAGUUGGUACGGUAACGGCGUACCAAGGCGACGAUGAGUAGGGGGCGUGAGAGCGUGAUCCCCCACACGGGUACUGAGACACGGACCCGACUCCUACGGGAGGCAGCAGUAAGGAAUAUUGGACAAUGGAGGCAACUCUGAUCCAGCCAUCCCGCGUGUAGGAAGACGGCCCUAUGGGUUGUAAACUACUUUUACUAGGGAAGAAUGUGUGUCAUUUAUGACAUUUUGACGGUACCUAGAGAAUAAGCACCGGCUAACUCCG